AAAAAAAAAGAAAAAAAAAAGAAAAAAAAAAGAAAAAAGCCAUACAAGAAAAUGCCUGAACCGAGAACAGAAAAAGAGGUUCGUGGUUUCUUAGAUAGAUUGAACUGUAUCUCACAGUUCAUAUCUCAUCUAACAGCCACGUGGGAACCCACUCAAGCUGUUGAGAAAAAAAGAUCAAACGGUCAGGUGAAAUAAUGAUUGCCAAGGGGCAUUUAGA
This 217-nucleotide long non-coding RNA is filed under the name Lathyrus oleraceus (garden pea). Its description in RNAcentral is "Pisum sativum (pea) long non-coding RNA (PSAT_LNC009659)". Lineage: Eukaryota; Viridiplantae; Streptophyta; Magnoliopsida; Fabales; Fabaceae. The record is from RNAcentral.